This 293-nucleotide ribosomal RNA is filed under the name uncultured bacterium. RNAcentral's name for it is "partial 16S ribosomal RNA". It matches the Rfam family "Bacterial small subunit ribosomal RNA", at positions 775 to 1067 of the family's 1533-position model. The record is from RNAcentral.
GGAUUAGAUACCCUGGUAGUCCACGCCGUAAACUAUGGACGCUAGCUGUAAGAAGUAUCGACCCUUCUUGUAGCGAAGCUAACGCGUUAAGCGUCCCACCUGUGGAGUACGGUCGCAAGACUAAAACAUAAAGGAAUUGACGGGGACCCGCACAAGCGGUGGAGCGUGUUGUUUAAUUCGAUGGUAAGCGAAGAACCUUACCCAGGCUUGACAUCCUACUAAUUUCUCCGAAAGGAGAGAGUGCCUUCGGGCCGUAGAGACAGGUGUUGCAUGGCCGUCGUCAGCUCGUGCCG